AGAGUUUGAUCCUGGCUCAGAUUGAACGCUGGCGGCAGGCCUAACACAUGCAAGUCGAGCGGUAGCACAGAGAGCUUGCUCUCGGGUGACGAGCGGCGGACGGGUGAGUAAUGUCUGGGAAACUGCCUGAUGGAGGGGGAUAACUACUGGAAACGGUAGCUAAUACCGCAUAACGUCGCAAGACCAAAGUGGGGGACCUUCGGGCCUCAUGCCAUCAGAUGUGCCCAGAUGGGAUUAGCUGGUAGGUGGGGUAACGGCUCACCUAGGCGACGAUCCCUAGCUGGUCUGAGAGGAUGACCAGCCACACUGGAACUGAGACACGGUCCAGACUCCUACGGGAGGCAGCAGUGGGGAAUAUUGCACAAUGGGCGCAAGCCUGAUGCAGCCAUGCCGCGUGUGUGAAGAAGGCCUUCGGGUUGUAAAGCACUUUCAGCGGGGAGGAAGGCGUUAAGGUUAAUAACCUUGGCGAUUGACGUUACCCGCAGAAGAAGCACCGGCUAACUCCGUGCCAGCAGCCGCGGUAAUACGGAGGGUGCAAGCGUUAGUCGGAAUUACUGGGCGUAAAGCGCACGCAGGCGGUCUGUCAAGUCGGAUGUGAAAUCCCCGGGCUCAACCUGGGAACUGCAUUCGAAACUGGCAGGCUAGAGUCUUGUAGAGGGGGGUAGAAUUCCAGGUGUAGCGGUGAAAUGCGUAGAGAUCUGGAGGAAUACCGGUGGCGAAGGCGGCCCCCUGGACAAAGACUGACGCUCAGGUGCGAAAGCGUGGGGAGCAAACAGGAUUAGAUACCCUGGUAGUCCACGCUGUAAACGAUGUCGAUUUGGAGGUUGUGCCCUUGAGGCGUGGCUUCCGGAGCUAACGCGUUAAAUCGACCGCCUGGGGAGUACGGCCGCAAGGUUAAAACUCAAAUGAAUUGACGGGGGCCCGCACAAGCGGUGGAGCAUGUGGUUUAAUUCGAUGCAACGCGAAGAACCUUACCUGGUCUUGACAUCCACAGAACUUUCCAGAGAUGGAUUGGUGCCUUCGGGAACUGUGAGACAGGUGCUGCAUGGCUGUCGUCAGCUCGUGUUGUGAAAUGUUGGGUUAAGUCCCGCAACGAGCGCAACCCUUAUCCUUUGUUGCCAGCGGUCCGGCCGGGAACUCAAAGGAGACUGCCAGUGAUAAACUGGAGGAAGGUGGGGAUGACGUCAAGUCAUCAUGGCCCUUACGACCAGGGCUACACACGUGCUACAAUGGCAUAUACAAAGAGAAGCGACCUCGCGAGAGCAAGCGGACCUCAUAAAGUAUGUCGUAGUCCGGAUUGGGGUCCGCAACUCGACUCCAUGAAGUCGGAAUCGCUAGUAAUCGUAGAUCAGAAUGCUACGGUGAAUACGUUCCCGGGCCUUGUACACACCGCCCGUCACACCAUGGGAGUGGGUUGCAAAAGAAGUAGGUAGCUUAACCUUCGGGAGGGCGCUUACCACUUUGUGAUUCAUGACUGGGGUGAAGUCGUAACAAGGUAGCCGUA
This 1504-nucleotide ribosomal RNA is filed under the name Klebsiella pneumoniae. RNAcentral describes it as "16S ribosomal RNA". It matches the Rfam family "Bacterial small subunit ribosomal RNA". The record is from RNAcentral. Lineage: Bacteria; Pseudomonadati; Pseudomonadota; Gammaproteobacteria; Enterobacterales; Enterobacteriaceae.